RNAcentral lists this transfer RNA (72 nucleotides) under Hordeum vulgare. RNAcentral's name for it is "tRNA-OTHER". Lineage: Eukaryota; Viridiplantae; Streptophyta; Magnoliopsida; Poales; Poaceae. The record is from RNAcentral.
GACGGCAUAGCCUAGUGGUAGUGUGUGCGCUUGGAGUGCGGGUGGGCAUGGGUUUGAUUCCCCCCUCCCACA